UACGGAGGGUGCAAGCGUUAUCCGGAUUUAUUGGGUUUAAAGGGUCCGCAGGCGGGCCUGUAAGUCAGGGGUGAAAGCCGGCAGCUUAACUGUCGAACUGCCUUUGAUACUGCAGGUCUUGAGUAAGGUUGAAGUAGCUGGAAUGAGUAGUGUAGCGGUGAAAUGCAUAGAUAUUACUCGGAACACCAAUUGCGAAGGCAGGUUACUAAGUCUUAACUGACGCUGAGGGACGAAAGCGUGGGGAGCGAACAGG
This 253-nucleotide ribosomal RNA is filed under the name uncultured bacterium. Its description in RNAcentral is "partial 16S ribosomal RNA". It matches the Rfam family "Bacterial small subunit ribosomal RNA", at positions 524 to 776 of the family's 1533-position model. The record is from RNAcentral.